This is a long non-coding RNA of Gadus chalcogrammus (walleye pollock), 1159 nucleotides long. RefSeq lists it as uncharacterized. Lineage: Eukaryota; Metazoa; Chordata; Actinopteri; Gadiformes; Gadidae. The transcript has 4 exons. The record is from RefSeq and is a predicted model, not a curated record.
UCCGGGUUCAACCCUAGUUUAGGAUGGACGUCUAAACACAAGGAAACGAUUAGCGUGGGUGUUUGUAUAUGGGCUGUUGUGCGUGUGUGUACCUUUGUGUAAAGUAAAGAGACACUGAGGCUGUCAGGGAAACUUUUUUAGAUUCUCAUCACCCACGUCUUAUCUCGAAACACACACACACCGCCUCAAUGCAAAGCAACACAUUGUUCCUUGGAAUGUACUUUAGAACGGAAAAUGUCCCUACGUGAUGGUUCACUCGUGAAUGCAAAACCUUGAGGCAUAGUGUGCACACAGACACACAGCCUUCUAAGCGCGCAGUUUAACAAAGCCCACGCAAUGCAUGGGAAACUUUCCCCAGGCUGCUUUGAUGGACAGUCCGUUAUAAGCUAAAUUCAUUGCUCGCUAAUGACUCACAGAUCUCCAUGAUGAUGAUGACACACUGCAGAUGUGACCGGACGGCAAAAACGUAUUUAUGGACAGACCCCCUCAUGGGUUUCGUCUUCAUGGUACGACGGAGCCAGGAAAUCAGCCCGGAGACGAGCUUCCCUUCUCGGUGGAGAGGCCACAUGCAGGGGGAGGUGCUGAGGCUGUGAGACAGAAUCUCUGGUGUGGUCUCCACUGGCCACAGCUGCCGCUGUAGGCGACGGAACAAACCCGAGACCCGGAGGAGAGCGGACGCAGGAGGGCUUCAACAUGACACCGCGGACGUAUAAGGAGGAUGGUCGACCGUAUACACCAGCCAGGACGCAGGACAUGAACAUCCAUCCCCUAUUUGACCGGCAUCAGAAUGCACAACAUCACGUCCAUGUUCACAUUAGCGGUCCGGAUACCACAGCUUGGGUUUGAUUCCUAUGUCCUUAAAACAAUGAGAUCUCCCCCCCCUCUGCCAUGCUCUGCUUCAGGGCCGGGUCACUGAUCACAUGAGCUCUGAUCUGGCCUAUGUUCCCGCUUCCGCCACCUCAGGGAUGAGUUUCUACAUCUGUCUAAUGUAAUGUUCUUCAAGGGGAUGCUACGUGGGUUUACAUACAUGGGAGCAAACAAAUACCCUGAGGCCAAUCGGAUCAAUUGACCUCGGAUGAAUGAAUGUUGACCAAUGCUGUGUUAGAAGAAGUGUGUGUGUGUGUGUGUGUCCCAGUUUUUGCAGCUAUGCAGUGAUGUU